GACAAAACCAACCUGAAAAAUCAUCAAAACCUCAAAUAGACAUUUAAACCAAAAGUUUUGGAAACCACCACUUCCUCUAAUACCACCACAACUACAACAAAAUAUAACAAAAUUCGACUGAGUGCUUCUACAAGAUCAUCAUGUCAACAUGCAAGCAUUACAUCAAUUACAAACGUUUCUACGAAGUGCAUGACACACCAAAUAUUAGACAAGUACUUAAUAAACAUGAGUCCUCCAACUAUACAUUACAUACUAUGAAACGGUCUCUUUC
RNAcentral lists this long non-coding RNA (271 nucleotides) under Olea europaea (common olive). RNAcentral's name for it is "long non-coding RNA (OEUR_LNC012778)". The record is from RNAcentral. Lineage: Eukaryota; Viridiplantae; Streptophyta; Magnoliopsida; Lamiales; Oleaceae.